Molecule: ribosomal RNA, 136 nt
Filed under: Chinchilla lanigera (long-tailed chinchilla)
Lineage: Eukaryota; Metazoa; Chordata; Mammalia; Rodentia; Chinchillidae
Source: RNAcentral
CUAUGGCCAUACUACCCUCAAUGCACCCGAUCUCAUCUGAUCUCAGAAGCUAAGCAGGGUCGGGCCUGAUUAGCACUUGGAUGGGAGGAAAUAGAAAAUAUAAGGAAAAAAUAAAAAUAAGUGGUAGCUCCAUAGU